Long non-coding RNA from Poecilia latipinna (sailfin molly), 4745 nucleotides. RefSeq lists it as uncharacterized. The transcript is spliced from 3 exons. The record is from RefSeq and is a predicted model, not a curated record. Lineage: Eukaryota; Metazoa; Chordata; Actinopteri; Cyprinodontiformes; Poeciliidae.
ACACACAAGUCUUUUCUAACAAGGAGAUAAGAAAAAGAAAAAAAAGAAAAAACAAAAGAAAAAAAAACAUACAGUGUUAAAAUUAAAGACAGAACGUGCAGCACCCAUAGCGGAGGAGCUGAAAUCUCUCAAAAUCAUCACAUCAAUAAGUAAAAUGUCAAAAAGAAAAAAAAUUCUCCUGCUGCAGCCAGAAUACGGAAAGUCUUCUGUACAGGUGUUAUUUAGGAAAACCCACAGAUACACACACAAAAAAAAUAAAGAGAGAAGAUUUAAAGAACGGAGUUUCGAUGGCCCAGUUCAGCAGCGGCAGCAAGGUCAACGUUUCACACACCAACUCAGAGAAGAAGGCGAGCAACAAUCUGCCUGGCCACAUUGCCUGCCCACACACACCUCCUCCACAGGUGUGUGUGGAUUUUUAGGGGUGAGUCAUUCUCUCCCACGUAGCACAUACCUCCAGCAGUGGUUGCGGAGAUCCCACCAGCGCCGCACCGCUCCUCCCAGUCCCAAAAAUCGACUGGGAUUCUCGAUCGCUCCCCGAAGCGGGGCCUAGCGCUCAGAUUUUCAAACGAGAGCGCAACAUCUGAAGGCAACAGAUGGCGGUUCGACGAACAACAUCAUGAUCAGACAGUGACACAGCAUUAGGGCACAGCGUUAAUUGUGCAGCCUUUGUUUUCUACACUUAAUACCAAAAAUGCAGCAGUGUUUUCAGUGUUUUCAUACAUUUAGAUCUCCUGUUAGCGAAAUAAAAAAAAAUGUGAUGUACAGCUUUGAUCCAAGGCAUAAUUAAAGUGAUCAUCAAUCACAAUGCGAAUGUGUAAUAAAAAGAGAAGCCCUGGAAUUGGAAAGCUGCAGGUUUCAUUCUUGCUUCCUUCUCUGUCAUACAUUGAUGGGCACCUGGGCAAGGCACUUAACUGCAAGUUACCAGCGGAUCAUCUUUAUUAAAGACACCAAUAGAUCCACAUGAGACAUGUGAGUAUAAAUUCAUGUGAACAAACAUAAUCACAAGUGUACAUAUGUGAGUGUGACUGGUUAAAUUUGACUCCAGCACAGUACCAUAUUUUUUCAGACAGUAAGUAUUUAGAAACUGUCAAAUGAUAUAUUAUUUAAUUGCUUUUCAGCAAACUCACGAAAACUCUUGACUUUGGCUUGGAAGUCUGCUGGAGGCUGAUCUGCACUCUAAAUCAGGGUGGUCUGGAAUGUCUGUGCUCCAUCAGCAAAGAGCGCAGUGGAGCGGAGACGCAUGCAGUGUAAAUAAAGGAUGAUAGAGAGGCGGUAACACCAAGAGGUCUCCCUCUAAAGUCAUUUAUAGUCAUCUCCUUAGUCACUUCUAGAGCAUGGAGAUGUGACUGUUCCAGCAGUUUCAGAAGGUGGCACCGACAGAUAGGUAUCGUUAUCUAGAUGCGGUAUGGUAAGAAAAUCUUACGAGGUAGCACAGAUCACAGAUCGUCUGUGGAUUUGUUCCUUCAGUUCUGACCGUCUAGCCUGUGAUUUUAGCUUUCUUCAUGGCUGCAAAUGGUAAUGUUUAAUUCUUGGUUCAUAUCCACCAGUUUGAAUAAAUAUUUAACGUGUCAGUGAAAACAAUGCGUCACAUAGAGCAAAAAAAAAAAAAAUACAUAGAAGUCACAACUGACUAUAACUUGUGAGACCAAUCGAAUAAUGAAAAAAAGUGUGAUUUCCAGUCAGGUAUUAACUGUAAAUAAUGUUGACAAUUCUGAUACUUAUUAAUGACACUUGGGAAAUGUAACUUAGCAUAAAGCAACAAAGUCAAACUCUGAAUAAAAAAAAUCACAAAGUAUCAGGUGCAGAGCUGUUUCUGCAGCCCAAACAUUGUGCCAUUUGGUGGAUUUUUUCAGGAGAGGUGCUUCAUAACACCUUUGAUGCAAAUAUUCUUUGCCCAGAUGACCUGAGUGCAAACUCCAUCCAUCACCCUUGCAGUAUUAGCACAGAGCUCCAUCGCUUGAGCUUCAGAGAGCCUAUUCAGCUAAGCAAACAAACCUUUCUGAGCGCCCAGCAGGGCUGGCAAUGGUCUUCGUGCUGGCUGCAGCUUAGGAGGGAGCUCAAAAAGAAAGAACUGGAUGGCAGCCAAGCAAUGGUAAAUGUUGGCUUCAGUUGGCUCGGUUUUCUGGACGGAUAAACCCAAAGACUACUGAUUAUGAUUCAUUCUGCUGGUCAGCUGGAACAUUCGGAUGCAGAAAUUGUUGAUUAGGGGCUCAGGAACUUAUGUUUAAUCUCAGAAGACCUUUCAGUGCUCACUGAUAUUUUUAGUGGCUCUGCAGUUACAACAUGUCAUGUGUUUUGGUGUUUGGUCUGGAUCCACUUCCGCCAACCCUUGGUGUUUCACUGCGUGUUGAAAACAAGUGACUUUAGUGGCUUUGAAUCUGACAAGUUAAUUGAUGGGCUGCCCCUUCGUUUCACCAUCUUGGGGUUUUCAGUCAUGUUAGCAGCACGCCUGUGGGGAUGGCAAUCUUGCUCUUUCAGUUGGAACACCAAAGACCGAAUGCAAGCAAAAUAUUCCCAUCGGUCCCAGCUGUACUUUGUGGUGGCGCUAGUUUACAAAUGCAAAAAUUAGACGGUAAUCAUCAUAGUAGUUUAAGCACUUAGAUUUUUAGAUCUGGUUUUGUGGCUAAUCUAAUCAAUAUCUAUUAGGAAACAAUUACCGGUACUAGUUCCAAAUAGUGAUCAGAAAAUAAUGUUAUAAACAUCUCAGAAUCACAGAGACUUAUUUUCUGCCCUCUCGAUGUAUUCACAUUUGUUCUGUAUCAAAAACCAUACUGUUACUACUCAGACAAGCCUUGUAACUCUAACCCUUUUCAAUUGAGGAAGCACUUUUUACCCUAAUACUAUGCAGCAAAUAAAUCUCCCUUCUUCUUAGAGGAGAUCUGUAAGAUUCGGGGGUCUGUAGCUUUGUUGUAUCGUCAUGUUGAGGGUGUAACACAGAAAUGAGUCUGGGAUGCAAAUUCAGAAGACUUUCGCAAGUGAAGUUGGCAAAAAAAUGUUCUUAUGUUAUGCAGCUGGUAUGUUCUCUUCUUUUACCUGUUUUAUAGAGUGGCUAAGAAAGUCGAGGAUCACUUUUAGACAUUCUGAUCACCUUAAAGUAGUAUCUUAUAGAAUAAAUUGAAAAAAAGAAAUUCUUAGGGUGCCAAUACAUGCAGAACUUGUAAUUUAUUAAAGAUAAUUCAAUUCUUAUUGUGCGGUCUUUGCCUUACUGAAAUGUACUAGCAUGAGCAAUUGUCGUACUCCAGCUCCAAGGUUUAUUACACAUCUUUACCGGUUAUGCCAAUAAUAUGCUGUAAACCUUUGUGAAAAACACUGCAUGUCUAAACAACUUUGAGAAAUUUACAUUUAAAAGAAAAAGUCUGUCAUAUAUUCAGAUGCAAACCUGUCUCGAUGGAUAAACAAUUUAAAUUAUGAACAUGGAAAGGAAAAUAUUCACUUUGACAGUCUGAAUUUAGAAUGUUUUCUUCACUAUAAUCAUCAUCCUGAAGUUUUUACUGUGUAAAACUGAUCAUUUCAUGAGUAUGACACACUGCACAAAUCUAAGACCCACAAGGACCUCCAUGCCGGCUCCAGAUGUGGCGACUGAACUUUUAUCUCAAGCAAUAGAGCCUCAACAAGGUUUGUUGAAAAGUCUCCCAAAAUGUGUACCGUCCCAAAUUACACAACCAUGUUGUGCAGCAGCCAGCCUGUCUAGAAGCACGGACAACAAAGUUAAGUUGAGUGCCGCGGGGGCACUACAGGCUGCGGACGCUGCCAUGUUUAAACCUGCUGAACAGAACGUGCUGUUCCUGCAGAAGGGAGAAACCGCUCAUAUACUUCUGACUGAAAAUCCAUCUCAGAUUCUCCUCUUUCCUAAAGCCAUCCUGAGUCUGACUUCACUUCCAGUUUGAAGUUUGAUGUGACAUUGAGGAGAUUCUAAAAUCUCCAAAAGUGGUUAAACAAAUCAGUCAAUGCAAGACGUGGAGGACAGUAACCUUACUGUACACAGGUGGUGUGUCGUUGCCACCCCAUCCAGGAUGCCCUGGGUGGGGAGCCACAUCAUCCAUGUCAAAAACUGCCACUCCUUUCAGUCAGUUAAACAUCCCACCUCAUUCUGUUAGCCAACAUCAUUCACCUGCUGUACUCUGCAACAUGUUAAACAGUAAAGUCACCCAACCAGUAUGAUUUGGUCUGUUUUUUAAAACAGAGUUAUAGUUGAACUGGCUUUACAAAAACAAGAACUGUUUCUCUUCAGAAUGGUCCAGUGGUUUCAUACCACCUGUUUGUUGUUGUUGAGUCGAGAUGUGUCAGUUUGUGGCAUCCAUGAUCCCAGAUGUGGCCAUGUUGAGACUUGCAAACAUGACCGUCACUAUUUAAAGUAACAACCCACUGACCUCACUUUUUGAAAAUUGAACGGUAGACUUGGGUAUCCUUGCUCUGUGCAAAUACUAUGUGUAUCUCGAUACACUGCCAACAAUAAAAUAAAAUAAAGACAUGUGAGCUGCAAAUCUUAAUUCAAUAGGUAUUGGUCUAUGAAUAUCACAUUGUGUGGUAUUCAUCUGAAUACCACACAAUGUGAUGCAAUGAGAUUCGUUACUGAGAUGAAGACUGAAAAUGACAACUUGCAACUGAAUGAAAAUAACUUUAAAAUAGAUUUGUAUGUAUAUUUACUUUCAAUGUAGGUGUUGAGUUAUAACUAUUAGUCAGUCUCCAAGAACAACUCAAGUAUCUACAGUGCAACAGAUGUGAAUGUCAGUUGUUAAUGAGCA